RNAcentral lists this long non-coding RNA (468 nucleotides) under Bos taurus (domestic cattle). RNAcentral describes it as "long non-coding RNA NONBTAT005017". Lineage: Eukaryota; Metazoa; Chordata; Mammalia; Artiodactyla; Bovidae. The record is from RNAcentral.
AACUAAUAUGCCAACACGAAAUACUUUGGUAUCAUGGUGGAUAACAGCACACACUGAGAACAUGUGAGAUAAAAUACAGAUAGACACAGAUCAGCACAUGUUGUCUUGUGCUCUGAAUAUCUCUAUUUUAAAUGAAGAAGAAAGAGUAUUUUUAUGGUUGCCAGUGCUGCCUGGAUACAAUUAGCAGAAUAUUAGUCUUAAUCAAAUAAAAAAUCUUGACAUUUAACUUUAGAGCAGGAGCAGUAUUUAGGAAAUGUAUGAGCCCCACGUUUCCACUAGACAUUUAGCUUGUUACUUUGGAAGUUUCUACUUGGUGCUGAGGGACCAAGUACUGGCUUAUCAUGUGUCUCGUAGCCAAUCUAGGGGAAAAAAAAAAAACACUUCAUAAACAUCCUACUAAAUUGUUAGGGAACUCUGUGUGGUGAUAUACAUUGUAUAGCUUUCAAAUUGUGGAAAUGUGUCUUAAAG